This 386-nucleotide long non-coding RNA is filed under the name Cyanistes caeruleus (blue tit). RNAcentral describes it as "lncRNA (ENSCCEG00000012171.1)". The record is from RNAcentral. Lineage: Eukaryota; Metazoa; Chordata; Aves; Passeriformes; Paridae.
CCCAGAUUGGAGGAAACUGGAGGUGGGGAUGGACUUAGGGUUGCCCAAUCUGCAGUGGCCUCAGGUUGGAGCACCUGUGGGGUUUUUCCCUGGGUGGAAGAUGUGGCAUCUCUGCAGAGCCUGGAAAUUCACCCAUGUUGCAGGGGCUGUAUUGAAGCUGGUGAGACUGCUCACAGGAGAGAGAUUAAGUAUUCAUGCAAGCAUUUGCAAGGUUUCCAUCAGAGCCUCUGCAGUUGCCAACCACUGAACAUCCCUUGUGCUCUCUGGUUUCUGUGAUCCCUGUAUGUUUGUGAGGAGGAAAAACUGAGCCACUUGCAAACUGAUAAACAGAGGGGCCUCUGUACAGCUGAUGCCCUCAUUUUCUAGGUCAGACUAGCCAUUAGAGA